CAGCUGGAUGAAGGUCAGAUUAAAGGUCUUACCGGACUAGCUGAGAGGAGGUGCAUGGCCGUCUUCUCAGCUUGGGGAUAACCCUAACUGAGACGGUAAGCCAGCUCGUGCCGUGAGGUGUCCUGUUAAGUCAGGUAACGAGCGAGACCCCCGUCUUCUGUUGCUACUCCUGCCCGUCCGGGUAGGAAGCACUCAGAAGAGACUGCCACCGAUAAGGUGGAGGAAGGAGGGGGCAACGGCAGGUCAGUAUGCCCCGAAACCCCUGGGCCGCACGCGGCAGAUAAUGGUAGGGACAGAGGGCUCCGACCCCGAAAGGGGAAGGCAAUCCCUAAACCCUACCUUGGUUGGGAUCGAGGGCUGCAACUCGCCCUCGUGAACGUGGAAUCC
Molecule: ribosomal RNA, 387 nt
Filed under: uncultured crenarchaeote
Lineage: Archaea; Thermoproteati; Thermoproteota
Description: bacterial SSU rRNA
Rfam family: Archaeal small subunit ribosomal RNA
Source: RNAcentral